Mirounga angustirostris (Northern elephant seal) is the source of this 5615-nucleotide long non-coding RNA. RefSeq lists it as uncharacterized. The transcript has 4 exons. The record is from RefSeq and is a predicted model, not a curated record. Lineage: Eukaryota; Metazoa; Chordata; Mammalia; Carnivora; Phocidae.
UACUCCACCUCCUGAAGCCCACUUCCUAUCCUGUUAUUCUCUCAAAAUAGUUAUAUCAUCAUGUAGAAAAUGUCAAUAAUCAGCGUUUAUAUGAUUACAACUAUGUAAACACUGGUUUUCAUCACUGAGCCAGGUUGUAUACUCUUACUAUUCCUGUGUUGCACAUUUAUUUUUUAAUUUUCCUAGAAGUUAGUGAUUGCCUUGUUUUAUCAUUUGCUUAAUUUUCUAUGUACCAAUCAUUAAUUCAGCCCCAAAACCUCCCCCCAAGAGUUGAAAUGUUCUCUCAGUGUUUUCAAAUAUAUCAGAUAUUCUAUCAAUUUCAGCCUCUUCAAGACAUCUUCUCUGGAUGGAACAUUCUGAUGUGUUCCAUCCUGGUCUGGUUCUCUCUACCCCAAGUAUGAAAUUGUCAUCUUGAGAAUCUCUCUUUUCCAUAGUCCCAGGAACUUUAUUUACGCCUCUCUUUCUGAGACUUUGCAUGUUCGAAAAUAUUUUUAUUCUACCCUCACACUAAACUGAGAGUUUUGCUGAAUAGAGAUCUCUCACAAUUUUAAAGGCAAUUCUCUAUUGUCCUUUAACUUCCACUGAAAUAAUCAUGGCUGUAUAUCGGCAUUUGCAUCAGUUUCCUGAGCAUAAUUUCCCACAGGGUAACACAAAGAAGGCUGGAUGAUGCCUGCAUAUGCAGUAGGUUAUGGAAGAGGAACCCCAAGCUUAGGGAGCCCUAAUCUUUUAUAAUGCAUAGGAAAUCUUUCUGGCUUUUGCUCGGGGGUAAGAUGGUAUAUUGGACAGCAAACAAACGUACCCUCCGCCUAGGAGGGAAACAUUAUCUCUAUCUUUCUUUUUUUUUUUUUUUAAGAUUUUAUUUAUUUAUUUGCAAGAGAGAAUGAGAGUCAGAGAGCACGAGAGGGAGGAGGGUCAGAGGGAGAAGCAGACUCCCCGCCGAGCAGGGAGCCCGAUGCGGGACUCGAUCCCGGGACUCCAGGAUCAUGACCUGAGCCGAAGGCAGUUGCUUAACCGACUGAGCCACCCAGGCGCCCCAUUAUCUCUAUCUUCCAAGGCUGUUUGCUAUAUACACAUCUUUGAAAAGAUAGCCUGGAGCAAAAGCUAGGGCCGGUACUUGAGAAACAUCCAGAAAUGUGAGAGACUCAUAAAGAAUUAUCUCCCAACAUUGUUUGUUCUCUAUAUUUCAUGUUAAACACUUUCCUCAAAUGUCUGGUGAUUCUUGGCUAUGUGCUCAUGUUUAGGAACUGCCUCCGUGCUAUCAACUUAGCGGUCUGAGUUUUGAAAGCCAAGUGGAAGAAAGAAGGCUGUAGGGGAUAGUGUGGUAGAGAGGCAAGUUUCAACUUUUAGGAUUCCAGCUUCUACUUAGCCCCCAUUUUACAGUAAAGUUCCUUAACUUUCAGCUAUGCCUGCUGUCCUUCAGUCCAGAGGCCCCUUGUUUUAUGCUCUGUAGGCUUCACUGUUCAUGGCCACUAGUCACAUGUGCCUAUUGAACACAUGAAAUGUAAAUAGUCCAAAUUGAAGUAAGCGGUAAGUGUAAAAUACUUCUUAAUUUCAAAGAGUUAGUACAAAAGAAGGUAAAAUAUCUCAUUAGUAAUUUUUAUGCUGAUCAUGUACUAAAAUGAUAAAAUUUUGUAUACAUUGGGUUAAAUAUAUUAUUAAAAUUAUGUUUGUCUUUUUCUUUUUACUUUUAGAAAAAAUGUGGCUAGUGGAAAAUUCUGAGGUUUAGGAAGUUCUUCCUCAGCACUUUUUGGUGAUACCUAAACACAUAUCUCUUCUAAUCAGAGGAAGCUGAUUUCCAGGAUCUUUUGGUCCUUUUCCUCAACCGCCCAGUAAGGGAGCAUAUUCACAGGUUCUGGGGAUUAUGGUGUGGACAUCCUUGGGGAUCAUUAUUCUGCAUGCCACACUAUCCUUGUGUCCAUGUUACAAGUGAUGAAACUGAGGCACAGAGACUAAGAUCCUUCCUUGUUGAAGGUUGCAUAACCAGUGAGCCAACUUUUGAAUCCAUGCUGCUUGGAACCAGAGCUGGAGCUACAUCAGGGCUUGGAUGACUGGGAGGAAAGUAUUUCCAAAUAAGGCCCAGGUCCUGCCUCUUACUGAGUGAAGAUGAAGAAAACUUCCUCUCCAGCAACUCAGCACCUUUUGACUUGAAGAGGCUUGAGGAAUGACAAAUCAAAGCACGACAGACAGCCCCCACUGGCUUUGGGGCCAGAGCGGCGCUUCCCGGGCCAUGCCUUUUUCAUCACCAUCACAAAUUUCAGUGGUGGCUGGCAGGCAACAGUGAAUGAUCUUCAGGGAACCCUCCGACUGAGGUUUUUCUACCCUUCGUCAGCCACUCUCUGCACUCACUUUUCCAUCAAAGCAGAAAUCUCUUAAUUUUCAACUAGAAAGAGAUUAUGAAGCACAUUUUGCAUGCAUUCUCCCGCCACCUCCAUCCUCCUGACCAAGGAAAAUUCGUUGGAAAGAAAAGAUAUGAGAAUUCUCUCAUGCAGUCAUAAUGAUUUGUCUAAAGAAGAAAAAAAUUGAAAAUCGUAGAUGUUUCGAUUGUUUGCUCUUCAGCUUGUUCACGAGGGAGGGAUUCUACACUAGGGUUAGGGGGCUGGCCACGCAUAUGACCCCCACUGCUGGAGAAUGAUGGCAGCCUGUUGUCCAAGGAAAGAAGAUACUGUGCCACCACAGCUGGACAGGGGUUGUCAUCGGGAACAGAGUGAACAAGCCGGGGCUAUGCGGGGGCAGGCUUUAUAGUAACAAGAGGUUGGAGGGACUCCUGGUUUCUCCAGGAGGACGUGAUUGUUUGAUUUGAAUAUUUCUGUAGCUGGCAGGGAACUGAAGCCUGCUACUCAGGGCUAAACAGGCACUGUGCCACGUCCACAUGAUAAGGUGGGUUGUUUGGCUAGGGGACCUUAUCGGAGGGACCGGAGUGGGUAAGGAGAUGCAGUUAGGCCAUUCGAGGACUUCCCAGUUUCCCAGGGCCGGGCAGCACAAAAUCUUAAUUGUAGGUCUGACACCACUAUAGAGAUGACUGAGACACAUUUACCCAGGUGGACAAAGAAGCUCCUCGCCUGUAUCUGGCGGGUCAUUGCUCUAACCCAUUACCUCUCACCCCCACCCUUAAGUCCAACAAGAAGUCCUUUCAAAACUAGAGAUAAAAUUAGGAAUGUUGGAAGCAUUGUUGGGGUUGUUCCAGCCUUACUCCCUUCUUUGGAAAAAGGUAGAAUGACCAGGACUCUGUGUGAUGGCCUGGAGCCUGCGGUUGCCCCGUCUGCACGCAAGCAUUCUUGUGACUGUUGAGACAUUUGACUGACUCCGCAGGGACUCCCCAUGGGCUGGCCCAGCUGCAGCUUCUGGAACAAGGAAACGGAGUCAAUUGGCCUUGUCAGCCCCUGUAAGCCGUAACUUAGAAAAAUAGAAGCCCAGUAGUGAGCACACUUAACAAAAAUACAAAGUCAGCAGUUAAAUAGGGCAUUUGUGAUUGUUCACGGAAAAGAAUUAUGGGGAAAUGUGUUGAGGAUAGUUUUAUUUAUUUAUUUUUUUUAAGAUUUUUAUUUAUUUAUUUGACAGAGAGAGAUAGUGAGAGCAGGAACACAAGCAGGGGGAGUGGGAGGGGGAGAAGCAGGCUUCCCGCCGAGCAGGGAGCCCGAUGCGGGGCUCGAUCCCAGGACCCUGGGAUCAUGACCUGAGCCGAAGGCAGACGCUUAACGACUGAGCCACCCAGGCGCCCGAGGAUAGUUUUAGAAAUACACAUGAAAGGAGGUAUUCGAUACACUGUAUUAUAAUAAAAUUAGUAAUGUAAUAUCUGCGGUAUUUACACACUCUGAAUGAACUUAAAACGCUGUAAUUAAAUGAAAAUCUUUUUCCUGUGCACAAGAACGAUGAUAUUGCCUUAUUUUUUUAAAAAAAUUUUUAAAUGUUAAAUGAUGACAUUUCAAAUGUACAGCCAAGCCCUGAAAAUACUAGCAGAUACUCAUGGACUGACCUCCCAUAUUAACAGAUGUGAACAUUUUGCUUUAUUUGCUUCAGAAUCAAUUAUCUCUCUUUUUAAGAAAGAAAACUUAAAGUGCAGACCAGAGCACCCUCGUUCCCUCCUUACCUGUCUCCCUAGGGGCAACCGUGAUCCUGACCACUUACAUAUGUUUAAAUUUUUAUUAUAUAUAUAUAUCCAUAAAUGAUAUAUACUAUAUUUUGUAUGCAUUAAAUAUUUAUAUAGACAUUAGAAACCAUACGGUACAUUUCUUUUUGUAACUUACUGUUCUUAUCAACAUGCUUUGACAUUUAUUCAUAUUGGUAUAUAUAGAUCUAGUUUCUUCAUUUUACCUUUCAUUCAUAAAUCAGUUUAUUUACUCAUUGGCCUAUUGUGAUAUUGUGAUUUAUAAUAAGAAAUAUAAUUAAUUUGCUGUGCUCUGGUAAGGACUAAGAUAGCUGAAAUUUAGACUGGAGAGAAGAAAUAUUAUUUAAAUGUAAAAAGAGCAAUUUAGUUUUCCUUGUGCCUUGUAGAAUUAUAUACCACUCAUUCAAAUUUCCUUGUUUCAAAACCGUCUUAAGGUGAGGCAGAAACUGUCAAUUGUCCCUGACAUUCAUUUUCCUCUUUUUUCUUUAAUAAUGGAUCCCACAUUUUUUACUGGGCUCAUAGCCUCUUGGAAUAAGGUUGUGUAGCUAGGUAUGGUGAGGAGACUAACUUCUACUAAAGUAGAAGACAAAUUUUCUCAGAAGUUUUCUUCAAGUGGGGAAGUGAACUCUUCUUUGUUCUCUUUUGCACUGGCUGGAAUGCAGACACAGUGGCUGGAGCUUAAGUAACCAUCUUAGGCCAUGAGGCGAUAGCACAUGCUGAGGAUGGCAGAGCAACAAAACAGAAGAAUUCUGGUUCCCUAAUACUGUAGAACAGGGGUCAACAAAAUGUUUCUGUAAAGGGAAAGAUGAUAAAUAUCUCUAGCUUGGCAGACUAUAUGGUCUCUGUCCCAACUAGUCAACAAUGUCAUGUUAGAGGGGAAAUAGCCACAGAUAAUAUGCAAUGAAUGAGUUCCAAUACGUUCCAAUAUGUAUUCCAAUAAACUUUUGUUUACGGACAGUGAAGUGGAAUCUCUUAUCAUUUUCAUAUGUCAUGAAAUCUUAUACUUCUUUUGAUUUAUUUUCAACCAUUAAAAAACAUAAAGCAAUUCUUAGCUCACGGGCUUACAAAACGGGCAGCAGGUCAGUUUUCAUGCAAAGCCUGGUUUGCCAGCCUCUGCUAGAGCACCUUGUGGUCUCAGACUGCUUAUCUUGAGUCUUUGUUUACAGGAAAGAGGGAUUUUUUUGUUUUUUAAGAUUUAGUUGAGAGAGUGUGUGUGCCCUGGCGGGGAGGAGCAGAGGGAGAGGGAAGAGAGAGAAUCUCAAGCAGACUCCCUGCUGAGCCUGGAGCCCAACAUGAGGCUCGAUCCACGACCCUGAGAUCACGACCCUGAGGUCAUGACCAGAGCCGAAAUCAAGGGUCUGACGCUUAACCAACUGAGCCACCCAGGUGCCCCAGGAGAGAGACACUCUUGUUGUUUCUGGGAGAUGGGGUUUGCUGUGAUUCAGCAGAGCUAAAUCCUGAUAACAAGUAGAUGCCACAGCCCCUGAGGUUCUCCCCCCCCACACGACCC